GAAGAGUUUGCCAAGCAUUUCUCCACCCCUGCUGCCCCUGAUAAACCAGUAUAGGUGCACAGGGUUACAGUAUCACCCACCUCUGGCUAAAACCAGUCCAAGUUAGACUGAAACUCUAAAUGGAUGUUUUGUUUUGUUAAUUAAGAAACAGAGCUAUGUGUAUCACACACCUUUCUCCUUCCUCCCCUUUAGACAUUCCAAACUGCCCAUUCCACACCCAAACUGCUCAUUCUACGUACGUUUUUUUCCCGAUUGUCAAGCAUAUGGACAAAAAAUUAAGGAGAAAAUCUCAGUAACUAAACACUUUGUCCAAGAGGGACACUGGGAACAUAAAUGUGACUUGUUUAGUCCAGGUCAAUAGGCAUUCUUUGAAGGUACAGGUAGGUCUCAGGCAGCCCACUCCACCCCAUGUUCCUAAGGCUGUGUUCAACUUGUAUCUCCUCCAACCUCUGCCAGAAAUUUGUACAGCCUCAAAAAUACUUGAGGCCUUUCCGGAAUACACGAGGCUAAAGCACUCACAAAAAAGGUGUAGGGAGUCAUUUGAUAAAUAAUUAAGCAUCUACUCUGCACCAGUGUGGUAUAAACACAUAAUCCAUGUGCUCAGAGCCUAUAGCCUUCUAAGAGGGGCUUCGCCUUAGCAAGCACAAAUAACUAUAUAGUCUAGGCCAAUGAAAAAAUGCCAGGAAGAAAAAUAAGGUUGACCUUGCACAGAGGCUGGGGGCUAAAACAGGAAGGGUUUGGGUUGAAAAGUAAGAGGUACUGCAUUCCAAACAAAAGGUAGGAGAAGAGUGAGGGGAAAUGAAAUUGGCAAGAUGAAACAGAGCCACUCUACAAGAUUGGGUCUCACCUUGGAUGCACUUGGGAGUAACAGGAUGGUUCUGAAGAGCAUGUGAUGAUUCUCCUGUCUAGGAAGACCAAGUCUAGGCUAGAGAGGAGAGCCCUCCACAAGAUAGGGCUAGGGGAAGUGAAGCAGACAGGUCCCCAAAACACAUUGAGGGAGAACUGAGAGGUGAUGAUGUGCGAAGGCACCAGGCUCUAACAGCUGCUUCAAAGGGAGUGGCAAGUCUUGAUGUUUGGGUUCCAAUAAAAGAAUAUCUAGGGAUUGGCGCUCUCCUUUAAGUGCAUAUAAAAUACUUAUGAACUCUUCAGAUUCAUACAGUGAAAGAGUUGGUCUGAAAGUGUUGUUAAGAACGACCUGGCACCUUCAACAAAGAAAUAAUCUCUCUAUAAAACUUCCCAGGACAAAUUAUUGGAUCCUAAAGUAUACCUAAUUCAUAAAAAUGAAGUGGGACAUACUACCCACAGAAAUGACUGUACUACAGUUUUCAUGAAACUGCUAUGAGUAGAAAUUUAUUUUCCAAGACAUGAAAAGAAUCAAAGGAUCAUAGAAAAGUAUCUCAAUGGCAUCUUCCCUUGAAACAACUCAAUCAGCAAACUCAUCUCUACAAAAUGAUGUCAUGUAAGUGAAGAUGGUAAUAUUAAAACUGUAUGGUUGGGGGAAAGCCUUACAGUGAUCCAUUACUUCAAAACAGGAAUUUAUUACCACUCUGAACAGAAAUCAUACACUGAGACACUGGGUGAUUUAGC
RNAcentral lists this long non-coding RNA (1587 nucleotides) under Marmota monax (woodchuck). The record is from RNAcentral. Lineage: Eukaryota; Metazoa; Chordata; Mammalia; Rodentia; Sciuridae.